GACGAACGCUGGCGGCGUGCUUAACACAUGCAAGUCGAACGGAAAGGCCCUGCUUGCAGGGUGCUCGAGUGGCGAACGGGUGAGUAACACGUGGGUGAUCUGCCCCUUACUUUGGGAUAAGCCUGGGAAACUGGGUCUAAUACUGGAUAGGACCAUGCUGUAGGUGGUGUGGUGGAAAGAUUAGUUUCGGUAAGGGAUGAGCUCGCGGCCUAUCAGCUUGUUGGUGGGGUAAUGGCCUACCAAGGCGUCGACGGGUAGCCGGCCUGAGAGGGUGGACGGCCACAUUGGGACUGAGAUACGGCCCAGACUCCUACGGGAGGCAGCAGUGGGGAAUAUUGCACAAUGGGCGCAAGCCUGAUGCAGCGACGCCACGUGGGGGAUGACGGCCUUCGGGUUGUAAACUCCUUUCAGCCAUGACGAAGCCCUUGUGGUGACGGUAGUGGUAGAAGAAGCACCGGCUAACUACGUG
RNAcentral lists this ribosomal RNA (469 nucleotides) under uncultured bacterium. RNAcentral's name for it is "partial 16S ribosomal RNA". It matches the Rfam family "Bacterial small subunit ribosomal RNA", at positions 28 to 507 of the family's 1533-position model. The record is from RNAcentral.